RNAcentral lists this long non-coding RNA (996 nucleotides) under Salvia miltiorrhiza (redroot sage). RNAcentral describes it as "long non-coding RNA (SMIL_LNC007099)". The record is from RNAcentral. Lineage: Eukaryota; Viridiplantae; Streptophyta; Magnoliopsida; Lamiales; Lamiaceae.
UCACAUGAUAAUCAAAUUUGAAUUAGUCACGUAAUAAGAUAUAACAGAAACGAUCACCUACCCACCGUGGGCAUGCAUAACGUGCCCACUAUGAUGUGACAAUUGUAAUUAUAGUAAGAUAAUUUUAAUUAGAGUAAGAUUUAUUAAUUCUCUUUCUUAAUUAAAAUUGCCACAUCAGUGGUGGGCAUGUUAUGCUUGCCCACGGUGGGUAGGUGAUCGGUUCUGUAAGAUAUAAAUAGGUCUUCCUGUUCACAAGCCAAAAUAACAUAUCAAUUCAAAGGAAUUCCAAGUAUAAUAUUAAGAUAAUCAAGAUCAAGCUCACAUUUAGUGUGAUAGUUUCGAACUAAAUAUGACCUUCAUCCAAUUAUUUAUACUGCCACCAACAAAGCUCUAGUCAUCCAUGAGAAAAACAUAAACUGCUCUCAAAGAACUCGGUAGAUAAGCAUAUAUCAGUCCCUACAACUCGAUUUAUCAACUACUACAUAAAUUCUCACAUUAUUAAUCAGAUUUACAACCUAAACAAAGAAGGUACUUCUAUCCUUGAUUGCAGGAGAAGGUCUCUAUAACUAUUGUUUUCGGGAAUAAAAAUAAGAAUUUGAUAGACAUCAUACACUAAAAAUGAAUGAUUCAAUACUUUGGGCCAACAUCAACUAAAAUCCUCUUAGAUAAAUGCUUCACUUAUCAUAGAUAAAUACUUUGGACCAGCAUCAACUAAAAUCCCAUGUUCUUGCACAUCUCAUUCCAUAGUACACACUAUAACCUAAUUUCAAACACUCAAACAGCCUGGCGAAACUUAUAAGCACAAAAAAUCAGAACUCAUAAGCACACUCACACUCAAACAACCUGACGAAACAGAUUUAAACAUGAUUCAUAGCAUGCAUCAAUCGCCAAAAACAGAACUCAUAAGCACAUAAAAAAAAAGUUCAAUGCAAAAGAAACACAACAAUAGAAGAAGAAGGUUACCUUGCAUUGCAGCGUUAAUAAUUUUUACUAAGG